GCUCAGCCCUGGGGGCACUUUCUUGGUACCUGCAAAGAAAGUGCUGUCAGAGUUGAGGAU
Molecule: microRNA precursor, 60 nt
Filed under: Echinops telfairi (small Madagascar hedgehog)
Lineage: Eukaryota; Metazoa; Chordata; Mammalia; Afrosoricida; Tenrecidae
Description: Ete-Mir-430-P8_pre stem-loop
Source: RNAcentral